Molecule: unclassified non-coding RNA, 330 nt
Filed under: plant metagenome
Description: partial contains 5.8S ribosomal RNA, internal transcribed spacer 2, and large subunit ribosomal RNA
Rfam family: 5.8S ribosomal RNA (bases 1-105)
Source: RNAcentral
AAAAUGCGAUAAGUAAUGUGAAUUGCAGAAUUCAGUGAAUCAUCGAAUCUUUGAACGCACAUUGUGCCCGCCAGUAUUCUGGCGGGCAUGCCUGUCUGAGCGUCAUUUCAACCCUCGGGACCCCGUUCGCGGGACCCGGCGUUGGGGAUCAGCCCGAAGCCCCCCGGGGCGGGCGGCUGGCCCCGAAAUCUAGUGGCGGUCCCCCCAGCGACCUCCUCUGCGCAGUAGUAACUCACCUCGCAGCUGGACAGCGGGAGGGCCACGCCGUAAAACCCCCAACUUCUCAAAGGUUGACCUCAGAUCAGGUAGGAAUACCCGCUGAACUUAAGC